Molecule: ribosomal RNA, 555 nt
Filed under: uncultured bacterium
Lineage: Bacteria
Description: partial 16S ribosomal RNA
Rfam family: Bacterial small subunit ribosomal RNA
Source: RNAcentral
UGGGGAAUUUUGGACAAUGGGGGAAACCCUGAUCCAGCCAUCCCGCGUGUGCGAUGAAGGCCUUCGGGUUGUAAAGCACUUUUGGCAGGAAAGAAACGUCGCGGGUUAAUACCCCGCGAAACUGACGGUACCUGCAGAAUAAGCACCGGCUAACUACGUGCCAGCAGCCGCGGUAAUACGUAGGGUGCAAGCGUUAAUCGGAAUUACUGGGCGUAAAGCGUGCGCAGGCGGUUCGGAAAGAAAGAUGUGAAAUCCCAGAGCUUAACUUUGGAACUGCAUUUUUAACUACCGGGCUAGAGUGUGUCAGAGGGAGGUGGAAUUCCGCGUGUAGCAGUGAAAUGCGUAGAUAUGCGGAGGAACACCGAUGGCGAAGGUAGCCUCCUGGGAUAACACUGACGCUCAUGCACGAAAGCGUGGGGAGCAAACAGGAUUAGAUACCCUGGUAGUCCACGCCCUAAACGAUGUCAACUAGCUGUUGGGGCCUUCGGGCCUUGGUAGCGCAGCUAACGCGUGAAGUUGACCGCCUGGGGAGUACGGUCGGCAAGAUUAAAACUC